CCUACGGGUGGCAGCAGUGGGGGAUAUUGCACAAUGGGGGGAACCCUGAUGCAGCGACGCCGCGUGGGUGAAGAAGCGCCUCGGCGCGUAAAGCCCUGUCAGCCGGGAAGAAAAUGACGGUACCUGUAGCAGAAGCCACGGCUGACUACGUGCCAGCAGCCGCGGUCACCCGGAGGGGGCAAGCGUUAUCCGGAUUGACUGGGGUGAAAGGGGGCGCAGACGGCGUUGCAAGCCAGGAGGGAAAGCCAGGGGCCCAACCCCGGGACUGCCCUUGGAACCGGGUGUCUGGAGUGCAGGAGGGGCAUGCGGAAUUCGUGGUGUAGCGGUGAAAUGCGUAGAUAUCAGGCAGAACACCGAUGGCGAAGGCGGCCUGCUGGACUGCGACUGACGUUGAGGCCCGAAAGCGUGGGGAUCGAACAGGAUUAGAUACCCCAGUAGUC
Molecule: ribosomal RNA, 440 nt
Filed under: uncultured bacterium
Lineage: Bacteria
Description: partial 16S ribosomal RNA
Rfam family: Bacterial small subunit ribosomal RNA
Source: RNAcentral